Molecule: ribosomal RNA, 253 nt
Filed under: uncultured bacterium
Lineage: Bacteria
Description: partial 16S ribosomal RNA
Rfam family: Bacterial small subunit ribosomal RNA
Source: RNAcentral
UACGGAGGGUGCAAACGUUGCUCGGAAUCAUUGGGCGGAAAGCGCACGUAGGCGGCCUGUUAAGUCGGGUGUGAAAUCCCUCGGCUCAACCGAGGAAGUGCAUUCGAAACUGGCGGGCUUGAAUGUGGAAGAGGGUCGUGGAAUUCCCGGUGUAGAGGUGAAAUUCGUAGAUAUCGGGAGGAACACCAGUGGCGAAGGCGGCGACCUGGGCCAACAUUGACGCUGAGGUGCGAAAGUGUGGGGAGCAAACAGG